This 440-nucleotide ribosomal RNA is filed under the name uncultured bacterium. Its description in RNAcentral is "partial 16S ribosomal RNA". It matches the Rfam family "Bacterial small subunit ribosomal RNA", at positions 338 to 795 of the family's 1533-position model. The record is from RNAcentral.
CCUACGGGUGGCAGCAGUAGGGAAUAUUGCUCAAUGGGGGAAACCCUGAACCAGCAAAGCCGCGUGAGGGAUGAAGGCUUUAGGAGUGGAAAAUCCUUUUGGUAGAGAAGAGAAUGACGGUAUGUAACGAAUAAGCACCGGCUCACUCCGUGCCAGAAGCCGCGGGAAUACGGAGGGAGCAAGCGUUAUUCGGAAUAACUGGGCGUAAAGCGGGUGUAUGCGGGGUAAUAAGUCAGAUGUGAAAACCUGUAGGUUAACUACACAACUGCAUUUGAAACUGUGACUCUGGAGUGUGCGAGAGGUAGGUGGAAUUCGUGGUGUAGCGGUGAAAUCCGUAGAGAUCAAGAGGAAUACUCAUUGCGAAGGCGCCCUGCUGGACCAUUACUGACGCUGAUGCACGAAAGCGUGGGUAGCAAACAGGAUUAGAUACCCCUGUAGUC